AAAGGGAGGCAUUGUGGAAUCAAUUAUUGUCUGCAACUUAAAAAGUGGAGUUAGGAGAGGAGAAUGGGAUAUGAUAGAGGUACACAAACAUACUUUUCUUGUGAAUUCCAAUUUCUCCGUACUCAUGCUUAACUUUUUUAAUUUCAUUUCUCGAAUUUUCUUAUGGAUUAAACAAUAUGUGGUGAUGUGAAUGAUGUUGUGAUGCAGGUUUACUUUCGUGAGAUACAAUUACAAGUCAUCGAUGAUCUUACACAACUUUUAAAAGCUCAUGUUCUGUUGGUCGAUUUGUGGUUAGUGCCUCUCAAGUUGGUUAAAGCAUUACGGUAGAGAAGGAAAUAUGGAAGCCUCCAACGAAGAAGAAGAGUAAGAGAAAUAGGAGGAGAAGAAGACUUCUUUUCUUAGUGUUUUAUAAUAUGUAGAACUUAUGUUUGACUCUUUGUGUAUAAAGUAAUGAAGUAUUUGUCAUUUAAUAAACCGUUUUUGAUACCCA
This 490-nucleotide long non-coding RNA is filed under the name Arabidopsis thaliana (thale cress). RNAcentral's name for it is "long non-coding RNA (ATHA_LNC000425)". Lineage: Eukaryota; Viridiplantae; Streptophyta; Magnoliopsida; Brassicales; Brassicaceae. The record is from RNAcentral.